RNAcentral lists this ribosomal RNA (254 nucleotides) under uncultured bacterium. Its description in RNAcentral is "partial 16S ribosomal RNA". It matches the Rfam family "Bacterial small subunit ribosomal RNA", at positions 524 to 776 of the family's 1533-position model. The record is from RNAcentral.
UACAUGUGGGGCGAGCGUUGUUCGGAAUCACUGGGCAUAAAGGGUGCGUAGGCGGUGUCGUAAGUCUUGGGUGAAAUCCUGCGGCCCAACCGUGGGUCUGCCUGAGAUACUGCGAUACUUGAGUGCGUGAGGGGUGACUGGAACGCGUGGUGUAGCGGUGAAAUGCGUAGAUAUCACGCGGAAGGCCAACGGCGAAGGCAGGUCACUGGCACGCAACUGACGCUGAGUGCACGAAAGCGUGGGGAGCAAACAGG